Molecule: long non-coding RNA, 964 nt
Organism: Asparagus officinalis (garden asparagus)
Lineage: Eukaryota; Viridiplantae; Streptophyta; Magnoliopsida; Asparagales; Asparagaceae
Exons: 2
Source: RefSeq, a predicted model, not a curated record
CACCCCUAGGCCCUAGGUCGGCUUUGCACUUUUGCAGCAGGAGAGCUUUCAACUCAUAGGCUCAUAGCAAGCAGCGGUCCUUAAUGUCCUCCGGUCAAGCAGCGGUCCUUAAUGCCCUCCGGUCCUCCCUCACACUCUUCAACUGGCUCACAUCCGAUGCUGCACACGUGGCGUACAUCGCGCCGUUCAAUGACCUCGAACUCCGCCCUCGUAGUCUCCUACCUCCAAUCUCUGCGGCUCUCAGGCUCUGCCAAAACAACGAAAAGUUCACCAGUUCACCUCUUCGGCUCUUCAACCUCAAACUCCGGAGAGAGUAAUUUUCCCAUCAACCCACUGCCUCUUCUUCACCAGUUCACCUCAUCAACCCACCGCCUCUUCUUCACCAGUUCACCAGUUCACCAUUUGGGAAUCAGGAUCAUCAGGAUGCUCUUGAUUAAGCCCCAACUCUGACCUCGUGGGGUUCGACUGGACUGAUAUGCUCAAAAUCCAGGUUUUAUUGUUCUUUGUUCUUUGUUCUUUGUUCUUUGUUCUUUGUUAAGUGUUUAUUAUAAAAAUUGAAAAAUGUUUCCUAAGAAACAACUUUCCGGAAAUCUUAAGAGACAAAAAAAGAAAAAAAAUGAUGAAAUUGCUCAAAGUUUAAGAGGAUCUUUGAAUAAAUAUUUUGUUAAACAAACCAAUGCUUCACUUGAAAAUUUAGAUGAAGAUGAUUUACCAAAUGAAUAUGAACACUCAAGUCAAUUGGAAGAAUUAGUAGAAAAUGAGAAUGAUGCGAAUGAAGAAAUUGGUGAUCUAGAUGAAAAUGAAAAUAGUGAUGAACCUUUCCUUGAUGAAAAUGAAAAUAUUGAUGAACCUUGCCAUGAAAAUGAAUGUCCCGAAACAAGAUUUGAUUUGAACAUUUAUGAUCCACGAGUUUGGGAUAAUCUUGAUGCAAAAAUGAGAGAUUUACUUGUAGAAAAAGGUCCCC